This 324-nucleotide ribosomal RNA is filed under the name uncultured eukaryote. RNAcentral's name for it is "partial 18S ribosomal RNA". It matches the Rfam family "Eukaryotic small subunit ribosomal RNA", at positions 1470 to 1796 of the family's 1831-position model. The record is from RNAcentral.
CCCUUAGGUGCUCUGAGCUGCACGCGCGCUACACUGAUGCGUUUAACGAGUUUAUGACCUUGCCCGAUAGGGUUGGGUAUUUGUUAUAUAGCAUCGCGAUGGGGAUAGACCGUUGCACCUGUUAAUCUUCAGUGAGGAAGUCCUAGCAAGCGCGAGUCGUCGGCCCGCGCUGAUUACGUCCCUGCCCUUUGUACACGCCGCCCGCCGCUCGCACCGAGUGAGUGAUCCGGUGAAUAAUUGGGACUGCACCAGUACUCAGUUCCUGAACAUUGCAGCGGGAAGUUUAGCGAACCUUAUCAUUUAGAGGAAGGAGAAGGCGUAACA